CACAAAGUGAUCACAAUAGAAAAGAUUUCACAUGAAUUUGGAUAGAAGGUGUCUGAAUAUCUACCUGCAUGGGCUCUAUGGAUGAAGGCAAUGUGCGCACUCACAAGAACAAUGUCAUAUGUGAAUACAAGCAACAAUCACACAGAAACCUCCCUCAUCAGCAACGUAACAAGUCCUUCAAAUAUAAUAAAUGAUCUUGAUAAUACAUUCUCAACAGAUCCUGAAGUAGAUGGUGUCAAAUUUAAUGGGAUGUUCUACAUUUUAAUCGGUAUUUCUGGGUUUACUGUUACCAUUGUCCUUUUACUGGUCAUUCUGUGGACAAUGAAGUAUCGCACUUUGAUUCACACCAUUCGAGAGCUGCAGGGUUUUGAGUGUCUAUUGGGCAGAGCUCCUCCAUCCAACCCCCCAGCUCUAAGUCCCCUAACCUUGAGGAAGUGUCUAGUGCGUGAGACUGGAAGCCCACUAGAGCUUGUCUCUGUCACUCUGGGACAGGAGUAUCAGAACACUAGCUCGCCCACUCCCCUGCUCAGGCAGACAACCAAGUCAGCUUCUAGGUCUCUCUGGAGACCACAGCAAACGGAUUCCUGCUUCAACACAUCAGGGCUGGGCAUGCAGCAACUCAUCAAAGCAGGGAGGGAAGGGGUGUACUACAAGGCUAAGAUGACGCGUGGCACCUGCAAGGGUCACUCCAUUGUCACCUGCAAGAUGACCAAAGAGGGGGUUACCCACAGGAGGGUAGCCAGAGAGGUGAACAUCAUGAGGAAGCUGGGUACCCACAAGAACGUGCUGCAGCUGCUAGACUGGAACAUCACACAGGCUCCUUACAUGCUGAUCCUGGAGUCGGUGAGCAGUGGGACCCUGCGCAGUUUCCUGCAAGUGAAUCAACACCAACUGAGCAGGGACAGUGAUCUGCAAAAGCACUUCACCACAGCAGCAUAUCACAUUGCCCAUGCAAUGAGACACCUGCGCUCUAAAAUGGUGGUGCACUGUGACCUAGCCCUGAGGAACAUCAUGGUUAACCAUUUCCCCAGAGAGGUGAAGCUGGCGGAGUUUGGACUGGCCCAAGACCUGACUCUUUUGAGCAGCCGUCGCAGCAGCCACAAAGGAGACCACUUGCGAAAAGUGCCCCUGCGUUGGUAUCCUCCAGAGUACUUCAGAAACAACUACUACAGCUUCAAAGGGGAUGUCUGGGCAUUUGGCAUUGUGCUGUGGGAGAUGCAAACAUUUGGGACCUUACCAUAUCCCAACCUGGAGACUUUAGAGUUGGUGGGGCGCUACAUCUGCUCUGGACACAGGAACUCAGAACCAGAGACAUGUAGGCCAGAGAUACUGGAGAUGAUGAAAGACUGCUGGCUGGAGCCCAACACCCAAAGGCCCUCCUUCAAUGACAUAGUCAGUGUCCUGGAGAACAUCCUGGAGGAUGAUGCAGAUUACAUCAAAGUGAACAACAGACUAGCCAAUGUUGGAUAUGGCGAUUAAGAUCAAAUCUGCUUUACUCUCCUUCAUGACGACUGAAUAUGUGCAGAGAGGAAGAGUUGGUGCCAUGCAGGGCUACGGGCCAGAAGGUUGAGGAUUCGCUGACAACCACAGAAGAGCUCGCUCUCCCUGCCUGUUUCGUUACUUCAAGAUCAAAGCCGGUUGCAGAAAUUGAUCAGCUAGGGGGAAUCAGAUUUUCAACAUUUUGAUGCCAUAUUUUAUAAUAUAAAAUACGCUGCUCAAAAAAAUGAAGGGAACACUAAAAUAACACAUCCUAGAUCUGAAUGAAUGAAAUAUUCUUAUUAAAUACUUUUUUCUGUACAUAGUUGAAUGUGCUGACAACAAAUUCACACAAAAAAUAUCAAUGAAAAUCAAAUUUAUCAACCCAUGGAGGUCUGGAUUUGGAGUCACACUCAACAUUAAAGUGGAAAACCACACUACAGGCUGAUCCAAAUUUGAUGUAAUGUCCUUAAAACAAGUCAAAAUGAGGCUCAGUAGUGUGUGUGGCCUACACGUGCCUGUAUGACCUCCCUACAAUGCCUGGGCAUGCUCCUGAUGAGGUGGCGGAUGGUCUCCUGAGGGAUCUCCUCCCAGACCUGGACUAAAGCAUCUGCCAAUUCCUGGACAGUCUGUGGUAGUCUGUGGUGCAACGUGGCGUUGGUGGAUGGAGCGAGACAUGAUGUCCCAAAUGUGCUCAAUUGGAUUCAGGUCUGGGGAACAGGCGGGCCAGUCCAUAGCAUCAAUGCCUUACUCUUGCAGGAACUGCUGACACACUCCAGCCACAUGAGGUCUAGCAUUGUCUUGCAUUAGGAGGAACCCAGGGCCAACCGCACCAGCAUAUGGUCUCACAAGGGGUCUGAGGAUCUCAUCUCGGUACCUAAUGGCAGUCAGGCUACCUUUGGCGAGCACAUGGAGGGCUGUGCGGCCCCCCAAAGAAAUGCCACCCCACACCAUGACUGACCCAACGCCAAACCGGUCAUGCUGGAGGAUGUUGCAGGCAGCAGAACGUUCUCCACGGUAUCUCCAGACUGUCAUAUAUGCUCAGUGUGAACCUGCUUUCAUCUGUGAAGAGCACAGUGCGCCAGUGGCGAAUUUGCCAAUCUUGGUGUUCUCUGGCAAAUGCCAAACGUCCUGCACGGUGUUGAGCUGUAAGCACAACCCCCACCUGUGGACGUCGGGCCCUCAUACCACCCUCAUGGAGUCUAUUUCUGACCGUUUGAGCAGACACAUGCACAUUUGUGGCCUGCUGGAGGUCAUUUUGCAGGGCUCUGGCAGUGCUUCCCCUGCUCCUCCUUGCACAAAGGCAGAGGUAGUGGUCCUACUGCUGGGUUGUUGCCCUCCUACGGCCUCAUCCACAUCUGCUGAUGUACUGGCCUGUCUCCUGGUAGCGCCUCCAUGCUCUGGACACUACGCUGACAGACACAGCAAACCUUCUUUGCCACAGCUCGCAUUAAUGUGCCAUCCUGUAUGAGCUGCACUACCUGAGCCACUUGUGUGGGUUGUAAACUCCGUCUCAUGCUACCACUAGAGUGAAAGUACCGCCAGCAUUCAAAAGUGACCAAAACAUCAGCCAGGAAGCAUAGGAACUGAGAAGUGGUCUGUGGUCACCACCUGCAGAACCACUCCUUUAUUGGGGGUGUCUUGCUAAUUGCCUAUAAUUUCCACCUGUUGUCUAUUCCAUUUGCACAACAGCAUGUGAAAUGUAUUGUCAAUCAGUGUUGCUUCCUAAGUGGACAGUUUGACUUCACAGAAGUGUGAUUGACUUGGAGUUACAUUGUGUUGUUUAAGUGUUCCCUUUAUUUUUUUGAGCAGUGUAUAUGCAACAAAUCUUCCACCAACAGGUUUAUGUGCCAAUGCACCACACAACCAAUAAACAAAACAUACCGACUUCGGGUCUUCAAUAUCACGGUUUUCAUUUUCAACACAACAACAAAUAUACUGUCUCGACAAACAGAAAACACAUCCCUUCCUACCUUAGGCUUACCAAGUAUCAAAGGCUUGGCUUGACAAUCUCUGAAUGUCAUUAAACUUGUUGGUCUCUUUCCAAUUAUCAAA
Molecule: RNA transcript, 3531 nt
Organism: Oncorhynchus masou masou (cherry salmon)
Lineage: Eukaryota; Metazoa; Chordata; Actinopteri; Salmoniformes; Salmonidae
Gene name: fibroblast growth factor receptor homolog 1-like
Exons: 13
Source: RefSeq, a predicted model, not a curated record